This 532-nucleotide ribosomal RNA is filed under the name uncultured bacterium. RNAcentral describes it as "bacterial SSU rRNA". It matches the Rfam family "Bacterial small subunit ribosomal RNA", at positions 355 to 887 of the family's 1533-position model. The record is from RNAcentral.
CGAGGAAUAAUGGUCAAUGGACGAGAGUCUGAACCAGCCAAGUCGCGUGAAGGAAGACGGCCCUACGGGUUGUAAACUUUUUUUGUAAGGGAAUAAAUAGUUUUACGCGGUAAGACGUUGCAGGUACCUUACGAAUAAGGAUCGGCUAACUCCGUGCCAGCAGCCGCGGUAAUACGGAGGAUCCGAGCGUUAUCCGGAUUUAUUGGGUUUAAAGGGUGCGCAGGCGGCAUGUUAAGUUGGCGGUGAAAUUUUGCAGAUCAACUGUAAAAGAGCCUUCGAAACUGGCAAGCUUGAGUGUGGAUGAAGUAGGCGGAAUUUGUGGUGUAGCGGUGAAAUGCAUAGAUAUCACAAAGAACACCGAUUGCGCAGGCAGCUUACUAAACCAUAACUGACGGUCAUGCAAGAAGGCGUGGGGAUCAAACAGGAUUAGAUACCCUGGUAGUCCACGCAGUAAACGAUGAUUACUGGCUGUUUGUGAUACAAUGUAAGCGGCUGAGCGACAGCGUAAGUAAUCCACAUGGAGACUGCCGGA